RNAcentral lists this unclassified non-coding RNA (346 nucleotides) under soil metagenome. Its description in RNAcentral is "partial contains 5.8S ribosomal RNA, internal transcribed spacer 2, and large subunit ribosomal RNA". The stretch from base 1 to 120 matches the Rfam family "5.8S ribosomal RNA", at positions 35 to 154 of the family's 154-position model. The record is from RNAcentral.
GAUGAAGAACGUAGCGAAAUGCGAUAAGUAAUGCGAAUUGCAGAAUUCAGUGAAUCAUCGAGUCUUUGAACGCACAUUGCGCCCCCUGGUAUUCCGGGGGGCAUGCCUGUCCGAGCGUCAUUGCUGCCCUCAAGCCCGGCUUGUGUGUUGGGUCUCGUCCCCCUUCCCGGGGGGACGGGCCCGAAAGGCAGCGGCGGCACCGUGUCCGGUCCUCGAGCGUAUGGGGCUUUGUCACCCGCUCUGUAGGCCCGGCCGGCGCUUGCCGAUCAACCAAAACUUUUUUCCAGGUUGACCUCGGAUCAGGUAGGGAUACCCGCUGAACUUAAGCAUAUCAAUAAGCGGAGGA